GCCGAUGUAGCUCAGUUGGUAGAGCAACUGAUUCGUAAUCAGUAGAUCGUCGGUUCAACUCCGAAGAUUGGCUCCA
RNAcentral lists this transfer RNA (76 nucleotides) under Methylococcaceae bacterium. RNAcentral's name for it is "tRNA-Thr". It matches the Rfam family "tRNA". Rfam says of the family: Transfer RNA (tRNA) molecules are approximately 80 nucleotides in length. Their secondary structure includes four short double-helical elements and three loops (D, anti-codon, and T loops). Lineage: Bacteria; Pseudomonadati; Pseudomonadota; Gammaproteobacteria; Methylococcales; Methylococcaceae. The record is from RNAcentral.